GUGCUCGCUUCGACAGCACAUGUAUUAACAUUGCAACGAUACAGAGAAGAUUAGCAUGGGCCCUGCGCAAAGACCACAUGCAAAUUUGUGACAUGUUCCAUAUAUUU
Molecule: small nuclear RNA, 107 nt
Organism: Gorilla gorilla gorilla (western lowland gorilla)
Lineage: Eukaryota; Metazoa; Chordata; Mammalia; Primates; Hominidae
Source: Ensembl